RNAcentral lists this ribosomal RNA (379 nucleotides) under Clostridioides difficile. Its description in RNAcentral is "partial 23S ribosomal RNA". It matches the Rfam family "Bacterial large subunit ribosomal RNA", at positions 1 to 381 of the family's 2925-position model. The record is from RNAcentral. Lineage: Bacteria; Bacillati; Bacillota; Clostridia; Peptostreptococcales; Peptostreptococcaceae.
GGUCAAGUUAUUAAGGGUGCAGGGCGGAUGCCUUGGCACUAGGAGCCGAUGAAGGACGUGAUAAGCUGCGAUAAGCUUCGGGGAGUUGCACGUAAACUUUGAUCCGAAGAUUUCCGAAUGAGGAAACUCACUUAGAGUAAUGUCUAAGUAUCAUUAAGUGAAUACAUAGCUUAAUGAGGGGAACUCAGGGAACUGAAACAUCUAAGUACCUGAAGGAAGAGAAAGAAAUUCGAUUCCGUAAGUAGCGGCGAGCGAACGCGGAUUAGCCCAAACCAAUAAAGUUUUCUUUAUUGGGGUUGCGGACAUAUCAUAACGAAGAGGUAUCGUAAUUGAAGAGGUUUGGAAAGACCCACCACAGAAGGUAAUAGUCCUGUAUGUU